CCUACGGGUGGCUGCAGUGGGGAAUAUUGGACAAUGGGCGCAAGCCUGAUCCAGCCAUGCCGCGUGAGUGACGAAGGUCUUCGGAUUGUAAAGCUCUUUUGCCCGGGACGAUAAUGACGGUACCUGGAGAAUAAGCCCCGGCUAACUUCGUGCCAGCAGCCGCGGUAAUACGAAGGGGGCUAGCGUUGUUCGGAAUUACUGGGCGUAAAGCGCACGUAGGCGGAUUUGUGAGUCAGGGGUGAAAUCCCGGGGCUCAACCUAGGAACUGCCUUUGAUACUGCAAAUCUCGAGUACGGAAGAGGUGAGUGGAAUUCCUAGUGUAGAGGUGAAAUUCGUAGAUAUUAGGAAGAACACCAGUGGCGAAGGCGGCUCACUGGUCCGUUACUGACGCUGAGGUGCGAAAGCGUGGGGAGCAAACAGGAUUAGAUACCCUUGUAGUC
RNAcentral lists this ribosomal RNA (440 nucleotides) under uncultured bacterium. RNAcentral describes it as "partial 16S ribosomal RNA". It matches the Rfam family "Bacterial small subunit ribosomal RNA", at positions 338 to 795 of the family's 1533-position model. The record is from RNAcentral.